Non-coding RNA from Pelobates cultripes (western spadefoot toad), 2582 nucleotides. The record is from the annotation of a GenBank genome assembly. Lineage: Eukaryota; Metazoa; Chordata; Amphibia; Anura; Pelobatidae.
UAUACAUAUAAUAACUAAAUCAUAGUGCUAUGCAGAGACCCAACCGUCCUUGCCAAUAAACAUCCAGUGGUUCCUAAUCACCACUUCCUCUCACCUCCCCCCUCGUCAUAAAAAAUCCUUCCAAUGCCCGCCGUCAGCCGACCUUAUCCACGCUCGAUGGGCACGAUACCUCAGGCAACCUAAUGUUUAACCUUUUGAAGCAGGGGAGGUUGAGACCUGCAAAACAUAAAAACUUACUCCAUCCUUAAACAUGACCCCUCAAACUUAAUUGGCAAGGCCCGCUGCUUUACCCCCGAUGCUUUACCCCUAUAUCAGCGGGGAGCCCCACCAAAACCUCCCAUGGCCUGUUACACCUCUUCUUGAAGGGCGAGAUUGAAAAGGUCGAGCCCGACCUCCGUUAGGUGUACCCCAUCCCCCUGAAAAAAUUGAGCCGCCUCCCACUCAAAAACCCUGUGGCCAAGAGUCAGCGCACCAUUUGGCGCCCAGAAUGGACCCAAAGCCAACCGAGCCCGCCGCAUCGGUGAACAAAUGGAGGUCGGCGUUAGAGACCUCCGGGACCUGUAGGACCUGCCAUUAUAGGAAGCCAAAAAGGAAUCCCAAAUGGCCAAGUCAGCCCGCAAGGGCCGGGUAAGCCGGAUAAAAUGCAGCGGGUGAACGACCCCUGACGUUACUGCCGCCAGGCGCCGAUUAAAGAUGCGCCCCAUAGGCAGGAUUCGACAGGCAAAAUUGAACUUCCCCAGCAGAGACUGCAGGCAGCGCAGCUGUAUCUUACGCUGCCCCAAGGCCCGGGACACCGCAAGGCGCAGGUCCAAAACCUUAUCCUGUGGCAGCUGACAUUCCCCUGCCAUCGAAUCAAUUUCGAUGCCCAGAAAGCUCAGACACGUGACUGGACCGACUGUCUUGUCGUGAGCCAACGGGACUCCGAAGCGCUGAAACACCUCCCCGAGAACCCGCAGCAGGAGGGCACAGACGUGUGAUCCCGCCGGACCUACACACAGGAAAUCAUCUAGGUAGUGCAGGAGGGAGGCCACCCCAGCUUCCCUCCGCACCACCCAUUCCAGAAAAGUGCUAAAGCACUCAAAAUAGAAACAGGACAGCGAGCAACCCAUAGGGAGGCACAUGUCCACGAAAAACUGACCCUCAAAGGCGCACCCCAAAAGAUGAUGGCACUCCGGAUGCACUGGGAGCAGCCGGAAAGCGGAUUCCACAUCUGCCUUAGCCAGCAACGACCCCGGGCCCGCCGCCCUAACCAUGCGAACCGCCGCAUCAAAGGAAGCAUAGGAAACCCUACAAAGCUCAGCGGAAAUGUCAUCAUUCACCGAACCCCCUCGAGGGUACGACAAAUGGGGAAUCAAACGAUACUUCCCGGGAUCCUUCUUAGGCACCACACCCAAAGGAGAAACCCGCAAAUUAGCCAUCGGUGGGGCAGAGAAAGGGCCGGCCAUCCACCCCAAUGAGACCUCAUAAUCCAACUUUUCCCGUACCACCUGAGGGACAGCCUGCACCGAUUUGAGGUUGCGUACGGAGAGCAGCGGAGGGCGCUCAGAGAACGGGAUCCAAAACCCCUGCUCAAACCCCUCCUCCAGGAUCCACGCCGCGGCCCGAUUCCUAUAAAGGUCGAGCCAUGGGCACAUCGUGUUUACGAGGACCGGAGUCGUCGCCCUUAGCCCCCAUGUCCCCUUUUUCACCCGUUUUUCCCCGCUUGAAACAGCGAGAGGUAGGAUGGGCCCCGCCGCAGCUGGAGCACUCGUGCUUAAACCGGCAUGAAGACCCCCACUUACAGAGACUGUCGUUAAACUUCCAACAACAGCCAGACCUUGGACCUGAGGCCGAUGAGGAGGAAGGCGCGCCCCCACCGGCCCCCCCAAGAAAGGACGAAAACGCCCCUUGUUGAGGGGCUGGACGAGUCAUGAUGGAAAGCCAGAGGCCGAUAUCCAUCUGAUCCCAUGACAGCGAGGGACGUACCGCUAGCCGCUGUCGAAACUGCUCAUCGUAUCUCCACCAACCAGCCCUCCAUAGGUGCGACAAGUGUUCCAGAUCGUGUCCUGAUAACAGAAAAGCGCGGAGCACUUGUGGGGAAACUUUUCCUCAACCACGCUGGCCAAAAAAGAGAACGCCCGUAUCCAGUUCCCAAAGGUCUUGGGAAUUUUGCGGAAACGGUACUUCUCCCUAUCCUUUUCCGACUCCUUACUGUCCUUGUACGCCACGGGAGGAGCUUCCUCCAGUGGUAGGAGAGAAAAUAUCUCCACAAAUUCCCCUUUCCAAUUUUUUUCCUUCGUUUCCUGCUUCAAGUGCAAGCCCAGAGGGCCAGACCAGCACAUGUAAGCGGCACCCCGCGCUACGUCCGAGACCCCCCCCUUCGAGACCAGCAUCAACCGAGGAGUCGCCAACACUGGCCACCGCGGGUGCCAGGGAACCCAGAGGCACCGUACCGCCACCCAUCCCGAGCAGAGGCCCAGGAGGGGGAGAAGCCUGAACAUUAGGAGGGAGCAGAGCCGGGGACAAAGCCGACCGGAGUUGACCAUCAACCGAAGUGACCCCACUAACCGCCAUCCCCCGCUCCCACUGAUCCAAAAAAAACC